Molecule: ribosomal RNA, 498 nt
Filed under: uncultured bacterium
Lineage: Bacteria
Description: partial 16S ribosomal RNA
Rfam family: Bacterial small subunit ribosomal RNA
Source: RNAcentral
AUUGAACGCUGGCGGCAUGCCUUACACAUGCAAGUCGAACGGUAACAGGUCUUCGGAUGCUGACGAGUGGCGAACGGGUGAGUAAUACAUCGGAACGUGCCUAGUAGUGGGGGAUAACUACUCGAAAGAGUGGCUAAUACCGCAUGAGAUCUACGGAUGAAAGCAGGGGACCGCAAGACCUUGUGCUACUAGAGCGGCCGAUGGCAGAUUAGGUAGUUGGUGGGAUAAAAGCUUACCAAGCCGACGAUCUGUAGCUGGUCUGAGAGGACGAUCAGCCACACUGGGACUGAGAAAAGGACCAGACUCCUACGGGAGUCAGCAGUGGGGAAUUUUGGACAAUGGGCGCAAGCCUGAUCCAGCAAUGCCGCGUGCAGGGUGAAGGCCUUCGGGUUGUAAACUGCUUUUGUACGGAACGAAAAGCCCCGGGUUAAUACCCUGGGGUCAUGACGGUACCGUAAGAAUAAGCACCGGCUAACUACGUGCCAGCCGCCGCCGUAA